UCCCUGAUGUCUUGGACAGUAAAGAAUCUGCCUGCAAGGCAGAAGAGCCAGGUUCGAUCCCUGGGUUGGGAA
RNAcentral lists this transfer RNA (72 nucleotides) under Ovis aries (sheep). It matches the Rfam family "tRNA". From Rfam's summary of the family: Transfer RNA (tRNA) molecules are approximately 80 nucleotides in length. Their secondary structure includes four short double-helical elements and three loops (D, anti-codon, and T loops). Lineage: Eukaryota; Metazoa; Chordata; Mammalia; Artiodactyla; Bovidae. The record is from Rfam by way of RNAcentral.